UCGAACGCGAAAGGGGAGCAAUCCCUGAGUAGAGUGGCAAACGGGUGAGUAACACGUGGGUGACCUGCCUUCGAGUGGGGGAUAACGUUCCGAAAGGAACGCUAAUACCGCAUGACAUCCUGCCUUUGGAAAGGUGGAGAUCAAAGCCGGGGAUCGCAAGACCUGGCGCUUGAAGAGGGGCCCGCGCCUGAUUAGCUAGUUGGUGGGGUAAUGGCUCACCAAGGCUACGAUCAGUAUCCGGCCUGAGAGGGCGGACGGACACACUGGGACUGAGACACGGCCCAGACUCCUACGGGAGGCAGCAGUGGGGAAUUGUUCGCAAUGGGCGCAAGCCUGACGACGCAACGCCGCGUGGAGGACGAAGAUCUUCGGGUCGUAAACUCCUGUCGAGCGGGAAGAAGGCUCCGCGGUCGAAUACACCGCGGAAUUGACGGUACCGCUAAAGGAAGCCCCGGCUAACUCCGUGCCAGCAGCCGCGGUAAUACGGGGGGGGCAAGCGUUGUUCGGAAUUACUGGGCGUAAAGGGCUCGUAGGCGGCCAACUAAGUCGGAUGUGAAAUCCCCAGGCUUAACCUGGGAACUGCAUCCGAUACUGGAUGGCUUGAAUCCGGGAGAGGGAUGCAGAAUUCCAGGUGUAGCGGUGAAAUGCGUAGAUAUCUGGAGGAAUACCGGUGGCGA
RNAcentral lists this ribosomal RNA (677 nucleotides) under uncultured bacterium. Its description in RNAcentral is "bacterial SSU rRNA". It matches the Rfam family "Bacterial small subunit ribosomal RNA", at positions 62 to 718 of the family's 1533-position model. The record is from RNAcentral.